This 421-nucleotide ribosomal RNA is filed under the name uncultured prokaryote. RNAcentral's name for it is "bacterial SSU rRNA". It matches the Rfam family "Bacterial small subunit ribosomal RNA", at positions 339 to 774 of the family's 1533-position model. The record is from RNAcentral.
CCUCGGGUGGCAGCAGUGGGGGAUCUUGCACAAUGGGCGAAAGCCUGAUGCAGCCACGCCGCGUGAGGGAAGACGGUUUUCGGAUUGUAAACCUCUGUCUUCGGUGAAGAAACAAAUGACGGUAACCGAGGAGGAAGCCACGGCUAACUACGUGCCAGCAGCCGCGGUAAUACGUAGGUGGCAAGCGUUGUCCGGAAUUACUGGGUGUAAAGGGAGCGCAGGCGGGGAGACAAGUCAGCUGUGAAAACUAUGGGCUUAACCCAUAAACUGCAGUUGAAACUGUUUUUCUUGAGUGGAGUAGAGGUAGGCGGAAUUCCGAGUGUAGCGGUGAAAUGCGUAGAUAUUCGGAGGAACACCAGUGGCGAAGGCGGCCUACUGGGCUCUAACUGACGCUGAGGCGCGAAAGUGUGGGGAGCAAACA